Molecule: long non-coding RNA, 392 nt
Organism: Physella acuta
Lineage: Eukaryota; Metazoa; Mollusca; Gastropoda; Physidae
Source: RefSeq, a predicted model, not a curated record
UCCUGCACAGAACCACCAGAUGGGCAGUUGGUCACCUGCAUAUGCCAACGAGUGGACAAUAGCGACGUCCCAACGAACUAACCUGGAGCAUAGCGUCUAGUUCCAAGGUGGACACCAGCAUCAACCUAACGACAAUUUCCUUCACCUGGAUGGAAAAUAUAACCCAUAGAGACUGCUUAGCCAAGAGUGCUUUAGGGCAAUCAAGGGUUGGAUAGGCACAAAUUAAGCUACCAACAUCUGGAACAAACUCAAAUCAAUGGAUUGUAGUUGGAACAGUAAUAGCCCUACUCAUUGUUACACUGUUCGUCUUUUGCUUGUAUCACUUUUAUAGAGAUAGAGGUUGUCAGUGUAAGAGCCUUCCAUGUUUAAGGGAUAGGACAAAGGUAUUCAAU